GACGAACGCUGGCGGCGUGCUUAACACAUGCAAGUCGAGCGGUAAGGCCCUUUCGGGGGUACGACGAACGGCGAACGGGUGAGUAACACGUGGGUGACCUGCCCUCAGCUCUGGGAUAAGCCUGAGAAACUGGGUCUAAUACCGGAUAUGACUCCAUGACGCAUGUUGUGGGGUGGAAAGCCUUGUGCGGCUGAGGAUGGGCCCGCGGCCUAUCAGCUUGUUGGUGGGGUGAGGCCUACCAAGGCGACGACGGGUAGCCGGCCUGAGAGGGCGACCGGCCACACUGGGACUGAGACACGGCCCAGACUCCUACGGGAGGCAGCAGUGGGGAAUCUUGCGCAAUGGGCGAAAGCCUGACGCAGCGACGCCGCGUGA
RNAcentral lists this ribosomal RNA (375 nucleotides) under uncultured bacterium. Its description in RNAcentral is "bacterial SSU rRNA". It matches the Rfam family "Bacterial small subunit ribosomal RNA", at positions 28 to 404 of the family's 1533-position model. The record is from RNAcentral.